UUAAGCGACUAAGCGUACACGGUGGAUGCCCUGGCAGUCAGAGGCGAUGAAGGACGUGCUAAUCUGCGAAAAGCGUCGGUAAGGUGAUAUGAACCGUUAUAACCGGCGAUGUCCGAAUGGGGAAACCCAGUGCAAUUCGUUGCACUAUCGUUAACUGAAUACAUAGGUUAACGAGGCGAACCGGGGGAACUGAAACAUCUAAGUACCCCGAGGAAAAGAAAUCAACCGAGAUUCCCCCAGUAGCGGCGAGCGAACGGGGAGCAGCCCAGAGUCUGAAUCAGCUUGUGUGUUAGUGGAACGGUCUGGAAAGUCCGACGGUACAGGGUGAUAGUCCCGUACACCAAAAUGCACAGGUUGUGAACUCGAAGAGUAGGGCGGGACACGUGGUAUCCUGUCUGAAUAUGGGGGGACCAUCCUCCAAGGCUAAAUACUCCUGACUGACCGAUAGUGAACCAGUACCGUGAGGGAAAGGCGAAAAGAACCCCGGCGAGGGGAGUGAAAAAGAACCUGAAACCGUGUACGUACAAGCAGUGGGAGCACCUUCGGGUGUGACUGCGUACCUUUUGUAUAAUGGGUCAGCGACUUAUAUUCUGUAGCAAGGUUAACCGUAUAGGGGAGCCGCAGGGAAACCGAGUCUUAACUGGGCGUUAAGUUGCAGGGUAUAGACCCGAAACCCGGUGAUCUAGCCAUGGGCAGGUUGAAGGUUGGGUAACACUAACUGGAGGACCGAACCGACUAAUGUUGAAAAAUUAGCGGAUGACUUGUGGCUGGGGGUGAAAGGCCAAUCAAACCGGGAGAUAGCUGGUUCUCCCCGAAAGCUAUUUAGGUAGCGCCUCGUGAAUUCAUCUUCGGGGGUAGAGCACUGUUUCGGCUAGGGGGUCAUCCCGACUUACCAACCCGAUGCAAACUACGAAUACCGAAGAAUGUUAUCACGGGAGACACACGGCGGGUGCUAACGUCCGUCGUGAAGAGGGAAACAACCCAGACCGCCAGCUAAGGUCCCAAAGUCAUGGUUAAGUGGGAAACGAUGUGGGAAGGCACAGACAGCCAGGAUGUUGGCUUAGAAGCAGCCAUCAUUUAAAGAAAGCGUAAUAGCUCACUGGUCGAGUCGGCCUGCGCGGAAGAUGUAACGGGGCUAAACCAUGCACCGAAGCUGCGGCAGCGACACUAUGUGUUGUUGGGUAGGGGAGCGUUCUGUAAGCCUGCGAAGGUGACCUGUGAGGGUUGCUGGAGGUAUCAGAAGUGCGAAUGCUGACAUAAGUAACGAUAAAGCGGGUGAAAAGCCCGCUCGCCGGAAGACCAAGGGUUCCUGUCCAACGUUAAUCGGGGCAGGGUGAGUCGACCCCUAAGGCGAGGCCGAAAGGCGUAGUCGAUGGGAAACAGGUUAAUAUUCCUGUACUUGGUGUUACUGCGAAGGGGGGACGGAGAAGGCUAUGUUAGCCGGGCGACGGUUGUCCCGGUUUAAGCAUGUAGGCUGGUUAUCCAGGCAAAUCCGGAUAAUCAAGGCUGAGGUGUGAUGACGAGGCACUACGGUGCUGAAGUAACAAAUGCCCUGCUUCCAGGAAAAGCCUCUAAGCAUCAGGUAACAUUAAAUCGUACCCCAAACCGACACAGGUGGUCAGGUAGAGAAUACCAAGGCGCUUGAGAGAACUCGGGUGAAGGAACUAGGCAAAAUGGUGCCGUAACUUCGGGAGAAGGCACGCUGGUGUGUAGGUGAAGUCCCUGCGGAUGGAGCUGAGACCAGUCGAAGAUACCAGCUGGCUGCAACUGUUUAUUAAAAACACAGCACUGUGCAAACACGAAAGUGGACGUAUACGGUGUGACGCCUGCCCGGUGCCGGAAGGUUAAUUGAUGGGGUUAUCCGUAAGGAGAAGCUCUUGAUCGAAGCCCCGGUAAACGGCGGCCGUAACUAUAACGGUCCUAAGGUAGCGAAAUUCCUUGUCGGGUAAGUUCCGACCUGCACGAAUGGCGUAAUGAUGGCCAGGCUGUCUCCACCCGAGACUCAGUGAAAUUGAACUCGCUGUGAAGAUGCAGUGUACCCGCGGCAAGACGGAAAGACCCCGUGAACCUUUACUAUAGCUUGACACUGAACAUUGAGCCUUGAUGUGUAGGAUAGGUGGGAGGCUUUGAAGCGUGGACGCCAGUCUGCGUGGAGCCAACCUUGAAAUACCACCCUUUAAUGUUUGAUGUUCUAACGUUGGCCCCUGACCGGGGUUGCGGACAGUGUCUGGUGGGUAGUUUGACUGGGGCGGUCUCCUCCCAAAGCGUAACGGAGGAGCACGAAGGUUAGCUAAUCCUGGUCGGACAUCAGGAGGUUAGUGCAAUGGCAUAAGCUAGCUUGACUGCGAGCGUGACGGCGCGAGCAGGUGCGAAAGCAGGUCAUAGUGAUCCGGUGGUUCUGAAUGGAAGGGCCAUCGCUCAACGGAUAAAAGGUACUCCGGGGAUAACAGGCUGAUACCGCCCAAGAGUUCAUAUCGACGGCGGUGUUUGGCACCUCGAUGUCGGCUCAUCACAUCCUGGGGCUGAAGUAGGUCCCAAGGGUAUGGCUGUUCGCCAUUUAAAGUGGUACGCGAGCUGGGUUUAGAACGUCGUGAGACAGUUCGGUCCCUAUCUGCCGUGGGCGCUGGAGAAUUGAGGGGGGCUGCUCCUAGUACGAGAGGACCGGAGUGGACGCAUCACUGGUGUUCGGGUUGUCAUGCCAAUGGCACUGCCCGGUAGCUAAAUGCGGAAGAGAUAAGUGCUGAAAGCAUCUAAGCACGAAACUUGCCCCGAGAUGAGUUCUCCCUGAGACUUUAAGUCUCCUGAAGGAACGUUGAAGACGACGACGUUGAUAGGCCGGGUGUGUAAGCGCAGCGAUGCGUUGAGCUAACCGGUACUAAUGAACCGUGAGGCUUAACCUU
This 2900-nucleotide ribosomal RNA is filed under the name Klebsiella pneumoniae. Its description in RNAcentral is "23S ribosomal RNA". It matches the Rfam family "Bacterial large subunit ribosomal RNA". The record is from RNAcentral. Lineage: Bacteria; Pseudomonadati; Pseudomonadota; Gammaproteobacteria; Enterobacterales; Enterobacteriaceae.